Molecule: ribosomal RNA, 497 nt
Filed under: uncultured bacterium
Lineage: Bacteria
Description: partial 16S ribosomal RNA
Rfam family: Bacterial small subunit ribosomal RNA
Source: RNAcentral
GAUGAACGCUGGCGGCGUGCCUAAUACAUGCAAGUCGAGCGAACGGACGAGACGCUUGCUUCUCUGAUGUUAGCGGCGGACGGGUGAGUAACACGUGGAUAACCUACCUAUAAGACUGGGAUAACUUCGGGAAACCGGCGCUAAUACCGUAUGAUAUUUUGAACCGCAUGGUUCAAAAGUGAAAGACGGUCUUGCUGUCACUUAUAGAUGGAUCCGCGCUGCAUUAGCUAGUUGGUAAGGUAACGGCUUACCAAGGCAACGAGGCAUAGCCGACCUGAGAGGGUGAUCGGCCACACUGGAACUGAGACACGGUCCAGACUCCUACGGGAGGCAGCAGUAGGGAAUCUUCCGCAAUGGGCGAAAGCAUGACGGAGCAACGCCGCGUGAGUGAUGAAGGUCUUCGGAUCGUAAAACUCUGUUAUUAGGGAAGAACAGAUGUGUAAGUAACUGUGCACAUCUUGACGGUACCUAAUCAGAAAGCCACGGCUAACUACGUG